This 405-nucleotide ribosomal RNA is filed under the name Acanthamoeba genotype T4. RNAcentral's name for it is "SSU rRNA". The stretch from base 1 to 342 matches the Rfam family "Eukaryotic small subunit ribosomal RNA", at positions 791 to 1116 of the family's 1831-position model. The record is from RNAcentral. Lineage: Eukaryota; Discosea; Longamoebia; Acanthamoebidae.
CUGCCAAGAUACAUUAGCAUGGGAUAAUGGAAUAGGACCCUGUCCUCCUAUUUUCAGUUGGUUUUGGCAGCGCGAGGACUAGGGUAAUGAUUAAUAGGGAUAGUUGGGGGCAUUAAUAUUUAAUUGUCAGAGGUGAAAUUCUUGGAUUUAUGAAAGAUUAACUUCUGCGAAAGCAUCUGCCAAGGAUGUUUUCAUUAAUCAAGAACGAAAGUUAGGGGAUCGAAGACGAUCAGAUACCGUCGUAGUCUUAACCAUAAACGAUGCCGACCAGCGAUUAGGAGACGUUGAAUACAAAACACCACCAUCGGUGCGGUCGUCCUUGGCGUCGGUCUUUCGGGGCCGGCGCGGGGACGGCUUAGCCCGGUGGCACCGGUGAAUGACUCCCUAGCAGCCCUUUGGUUGAGA